Anas platyrhynchos (mallard) is the source of this 404-nucleotide non-coding RNA. NCBI's taxonomy places the organism in Eukaryota, Metazoa, Chordata, Aves, Anseriformes, Anatidae. The record is from RefSeq and is a predicted model, not a curated record.
UAUUUUAUCACCCUCAUUCCUUAGUUUUGUGUACACUCCAUUACAAAUAGGAGUAUAUCCCUAGUGGAAGGAUGGUUCUUCUCAGCAAAGAGAAUUGAUCUCAGAGAAAAAUGAGAAGUUGUGAUGACAUUGAUUCACAUACAAGCUGAGAAGUUCCAGACAGAAGAGGAAGUGCUGAAAUACUCAAAGAAAGACGCUUCUCUGCCCCAGGAUGGAGUUCUGGCUGAAACUCGGUGUGAACCACUACCAGGGAAAGGAGACCGUCCCUGGGUGGGACUGAUUCUGGCUUCUGCAAACCUAUGGCAGCUGACAACUUCAGCUAAGAUGUGGGGCAAUAGAGUCUGACCUUUUGUGCACAUUCUUCCUACAAUAAUACAAUAAAAAUGCAGACUGUUAUUUCUGUU